GUCGUAACAAGGUCUCCGUUGGUGAACCAGCGGAGGGAUCAUUACCGAGUUUACAACUCCCAAACCCCUGUGAACAUACCUAUACGUUGCCUCGGCGGAUCAGCCCGCGCCCUGUAAAAAGGGACGGCCCGCCCGAGGACCCUAAACUCUGUUUUUAGUGGAACUUCUGAGUAAAACAAACAAAUAAAUCAAAACUUUCAACAACGGAUCUCUUGGUUCUGGCAUCGAUGAAGAACGCAGCAAAAUGCGAUAAGUAAUGUGAAUUGCAGAAUUCAGUGAAUCAUCGAAUCUUUGAACGCACAUUGCGCCCGCCAGUAUUCUGGCGGGCAUGCCUGUUCGAGCGUCAUUUCAACCCUCAAGCUCAGCUUGGUGUUGGGACUCGCGGUAACCCGCGUUCCCCAAAUCGAUUGGCGGUCACGUCGAGCUUCCAUAGCGUAGUAAUCAUACACCUCGUUACUGGUAAUCGUCGCGGCCACGCCGUAAAACCCCAACUUCUGAAUGUUGACCUCGGAUCAGGUAGGAAUACCCGCUGAACUUAAGCAUAUCA
RNAcentral lists this ribosomal RNA (547 nucleotides) under Fusarium equiseti. RNAcentral describes it as "eukaryotic LSU rRNA". The stretch from base 193 to 346 matches the Rfam family "5.8S ribosomal RNA". Lineage: Eukaryota; Fungi; Ascomycota; Sordariomycetes; Hypocreales; Nectriaceae. The record is from RNAcentral.